GCAAGUCGAGCGGAACGAGUUAUCUGAACCUUCGGGGAACGAUAACGGCGUCGAGCGGCGGACGGGUGAGUAAUGCCUAGGAAAUUGCCCUGAUGUGGGGGAUAACCAUUGGAAACGAUGGCUAAUACCGCAUAAUACCUUCGGGUCAAAGAGGGGGACCUUCGGGCCUCUCGCGUCAGGAUAUGCCUAGGUGGGAUUAGCUAGUUGGUGAGGUAAUGGCUCACCAAGGCGACGAUCCCUAGCUGGUCUGAGAGGAUGAUCAGCCACACUGGAACUGAGACACGGUCCAGACUCCUACGGGAGGCAGCAGUGGGGAAUAUUGCACAAUGGGCGCAAGCCUGAUGCAGCCAUGCCGCGUGUGUGAAGAAGGCCUUCGGGUUGUAAAGCACUUUCAGUCGUGAGGAAGGUAGUGUAGUUAAUAGCUGCAUUAUUUGACGUUAGCGACAGAAGAAGCACCGGCUAACUCCGUGCCAGCAGCCGCGGUAAUACGGAGGGUGCGAGCGUUAAUCGGAAUUACUGGGCGUAAAGCGCAUGCAGGUGGUUUGUUAAGUCAGAUGUGAAAGCCCGGGGCUCAACCUCGGAAUAGCAUUUGAAACUGGCAGACUAGAGUACUGUAGA
RNAcentral lists this ribosomal RNA (618 nucleotides) under bacterium SCSIO13080. Its description in RNAcentral is "bacterial SSU rRNA". It matches the Rfam family "Bacterial small subunit ribosomal RNA", at positions 57 to 655 of the family's 1533-position model. The record is from RNAcentral.